UGGGGAAUAUUNNUGCANUGGGGGGAACCCUGACGCAGCCAUGCCGCGUGAAUGAAGAAGGCCUUAGGGUUGUAAAGUUCUUUCGGUAUUGAGGAAGGUUGAUGUGUUAAUAGCACAUCAAAUUGACGUUAAAUACAGAAGAAGCACCGGCUAACUCCGUGCCAGCAGCCGCGGUAAUACGGAGGGUGCGAGCGUUAAUCGGAAUAACUGGGCGUAAAGGGCACGCAGGCGGUUAUUUAAGUGAGGUNUGAAAGCCCCGGGCUUAACCUGGGAAUUGCAUUUCAGACUGGGUAACUAGAGUACUUUAGGGAGGGGUAGAAUUCCACGUGUAGCGGUGAAAUGCGUAGAGAUGUGGAGGAAUACCGAAGGCGAAGGCAGCCCCUUGGGAAUGUACUGACGCUCAUGUGCGAAAGCGUGGGGAGCAAACAGGAUUAGAUACCCUGGUAGUCCACGCUGUAAACGCUGUCGAUUUGGGGGUUGGGGGUUUAAACUCUGGCGCCCGUAGCCUAAACGUGAUAAAAUCGACCGCCUGGGGGAGUACGGCCGCAAGGGUUA
This 555-nucleotide ribosomal RNA is filed under the name uncultured bacterium. RNAcentral's name for it is "bacterial SSU rRNA". It matches the Rfam family "Bacterial small subunit ribosomal RNA", at positions 355 to 897 of the family's 1533-position model. The record is from RNAcentral.